Molecule: transfer RNA, 86 nt
Filed under: Edaphochlamys debaryana
Lineage: Eukaryota; Viridiplantae; Chlorophyta; Chlorophyceae; Chlamydomonadales
Description: tRNA-Leu
Rfam family: tRNA
About the family: Transfer RNA (tRNA) molecules are approximately 80 nucleotides in length. Their secondary structure includes four short double-helical elements and three loops (D, anti-codon, and T loops).
Source: RNAcentral
AGGGGAUAUGGCGGAAUGGUAGACGCUACGGACUUAAAAUCCGUUCUUGUGCGAACAAGGUGAGGGUUCAAGUCCCUCUUUCCCCA